This 332-nucleotide ribosomal RNA is filed under the name uncultured bacterium. Its description in RNAcentral is "bacterial SSU rRNA". It matches the Rfam family "Bacterial small subunit ribosomal RNA", at positions 568 to 898 of the family's 1533-position model. The record is from RNAcentral.
GGCGCAGGCGGCUCUUUAAGUCAGGUGUGAAAUCUCCCGGCUUAACCGGGAGGGGUCAUCUGAUACUGGAGGGCUUGAGGGCAGCAGAGGGGGACGGAACUCCCGGUGUAGUGGUGAAAUGCGUAGAUAUCGGGAAGAACACCAGUGGCGAAAGCGGUCCCCUGGGCUGUUCCUGACGCUGAGGUCCGAAAGCGUGGGGAGCAAACCGGAUUAGAUACCCGGGUAGUCCACGCCCUAAACAUUGAACACUAGGUAUGGGAAGUAUCGACCCUUUUCGUGCCGAAGCUAACGCCUUAAGUGUUCCGCCUGGGGACUACGGCCGCAAGGCUAAA